RNAcentral lists this ribosomal RNA (278 nucleotides) under Glomeromycota sp. Its description in RNAcentral is "partial small subunit ribosomal RNA". It matches the Rfam family "Eukaryotic small subunit ribosomal RNA", at positions 569 to 849 of the family's 1831-position model. Lineage: Eukaryota; Fungi; Glomeromycota. The record is from RNAcentral.
AGCAGCCGCGGUAAUUCCAGCUCCAAUAGCGUAUAUUAAAGUUGUUGCAGUUAAAAAGCUCGUAGUUGAACUUCGGGGUUUACCCAUUGGUCAGGCUUAAUUGUCUGUACUGGUGAGAUAAAUCUCUACCUUCUGAGGAACUUUCAUGUCAUUAAUUUGGUGUGAUUGGAAAUCAGGACUAUUACUUUGAAAAAAUUAGAGUGUUUAAAGCAGGCUAAAGUCUGAAUACAUUAGCAUGGAAUAAUGAAAUAGGACGGAUUGAUUCUAUUUCGUUGGUU